This 433-nucleotide ribosomal RNA is filed under the name uncultured bacterium. Its description in RNAcentral is "partial 16S ribosomal RNA". It matches the Rfam family "Bacterial small subunit ribosomal RNA", at positions 29 to 507 of the family's 1533-position model. The record is from RNAcentral.
AACGAACGCUGGCGGCAUGCCUAACACAUGCAAGUCGAACGAGACCUUCGGGUCUAGUGGCGCACGGGUGCGUAACGCGUGGGAACCUGCCCUUAGGUUCGGAAUAACUCCCCGAAAGGGGUGCUAAUACCGGAUAAUGUCUUCGGACCAAAGAUUUAUCGCCUUUGGAUGGGCCCGAGUUGGAUUAGCUAGUUGGUAGGGUAAAAGCCUACCAAGGCGACGAUCCGUAGCUGGUCUGGGAGGAUGAUCAGCCACACUGGGACUGGGACACGGCCCAGACUCCUACGGGAGGCAGCAGUGGGGAAUAUUGGACAAUGGGGGAAAGCCUGAUGCAGCAAUGCCGCGUGAGUGAUGAAGGCCUUAGGGUAGUAAAGCGCUUUUACCCGGGAUGAUAAUGACAGUACCGGGAGAAUAAGCUCCGGCUAACUCCGUG